CCUUGUACACACCGCCCGUCACGUCAUGAAAGUGGGAGACGCCUGAAGCCGGUGGGCUAACCCGUCAGGGAGGCAGCCGUCUAGGGUGGGGUCCGCGAUUGGGACG
Molecule: ribosomal RNA, 106 nt
Filed under: uncultured bacterium
Lineage: Bacteria
Description: partial 16S ribosomal RNA
Rfam family: Bacterial small subunit ribosomal RNA
Source: RNAcentral